Aegilops tauschii subsp. strangulata is the source of this 1825-nucleotide long non-coding RNA. RefSeq lists it as uncharacterized. The record is from RefSeq and is a predicted model, not a curated record. NCBI's taxonomy places the organism in Eukaryota, Viridiplantae, Streptophyta, Magnoliopsida, Poales, Poaceae.
CUAUUACCAUCAACCUUAGAUGUACAGUUCGGAACCCCCUACCAGAGAUCCGCCGGUUUUGACACACUACAACAAAAUCCCCUCCUUACCAAUGCAUUUGUACCAACGAUCCUGUAGGAUCUGUUGUUUAUCCCACCUCCCACCUCCCGCACUGAGAGCUAACCUCCUCAUCCCCAAGCCUUCCGCGCUUAGAGCCAACCUCCUCUCCCUAAAAUAAAUCAAACCUUCCCGUACAAACACCUACCUCAUCCGCCAUCUCUCUUCCCUGAUUCCCCUCUUUCUCAUCUGACUUCCAUGACGAUCCACCGCCACCUUCGAUUCUCCCUAAAUCAGGCGAUGUCCCGCACCGUCGCUCAUGGGCCAGGCUCCCCCUCAGUGCACUCCUCCUAUAUUCCUCCUUGGCGACGUCCUCGACGCGCCACUGCACGUGUCCUGCAGUAACUCUAGUCGACACGGAUCGCCGGCGCAGCUCGCUCGCCUCUGUUUCAGAGGUCACUACUCCGCGUCGCUGCUUCCUCCUUCCGGCUCAGGCAUGGAUCUGAAAGAAGCUGUGGUGUAGGGUGCUGCUCCCUUCUCUCGGUGGUGGUCGCCAGUGGAGAUGGGCCCGAGGGGAGAGGAGCAUGUGGUGGAGCUCCGGCCGUGUUCCUCAACUACCAAUUGGAUCCCACGCACGCGGGUGGUUCUUGUGGCUCGCGAAGCCUUCGGCGGCGAUGGUGCUCCUUUUGGAUUUAUUUUGGUGCUAGGCGUGCUUUGGUUGCCCCGCGUGCGUUUGUCUGCAGUUGCGUGUGUGCUUGGCUCGUGUGCAUGUGUGUGUGUGUGUGGUGCAUGCGUGCGUGCUGAUUGAAAGUACAACCCUAUUACACUGAUUGUUUGCUACUGCCACUAAUUGCUAUGCCGAUGCUAAUAAUUUUGCUGCUCCUUGGUUCCUAUACAGUAGACACUUGCUACCGCCGCUGGUUGCUAUUGCUGCUGCCGCUAAUUGCUAUUACUGUUGCUGCUGAUUUUCCUACUCCUUAGGACAUAUACAGUAGAUAGAAGAUAAUAUGCAUUCCCAAAUAAAAAAUAUAGAAGAUCUGUAUGUUUUAAAAUUCUUGCAAAUUGAACCAACUACUUUUUAUCUCUUCUCUAAUCUUUCUCUCGAUCAGAUUCUCUUUUAUGCUCUCCAUUGCAAAAAAUUACUCAAUAUGUACAAUAAUAAUCACGAAACCUUCUAGCUCCUUUAUGAUUCCAUUAUCCCUUGUCCUUGCAAUUGUUAGUAUUAUUUGUUCCACCUAUAUCUCAUCAUGCGGUUUUUUUCCUUGCAAUUUUUGUGCCUGCAAGAUGUCAGCUAACUGUCUUUCGGUAUCUAAACAGAUGAAGUAACUAUGAUGUUGGUAUGUAACUAUCCUACAGGGGCAGAUGGAAAUGUACAGCUUAUGGCAUAAUCGCAGAAAGUCGGGCAACCCAUUCGCUUACUUGAUAAACCCUCCCCUGGUUCAGGCCACUAAGGGAGCUGAGUUGUGACCAAAGAUCAAAUCCUCUUGGAUAUAUGAUAUUCUACAUUGGCAGCAAAGGCACAUGGGUAGUGUUUCCUAAAACUGGUAUUAUGAUUUUUCUUUGUAGGUUGAGAUCAAUACAAGAUGAUUACUUGGAUCUUGGAGAACGUAUGAUGAUUCUUCGUACUUGGAGGAGAAACAAGACAGUUCUUUGAAUGUUUAGAAAUUCGAUAUUUUCUUUUAUUUUGUUUUCUAAGGAAGUGAUGUACCCCUAGUAGAUGAUACUUCCAUUGUACGUAAUGUAACAGAUGGUUCCAUUGAAUAAAUAUAUCAUUUUCAUUUCUACUCUA